AGAGUUUGAUCAUGGCUCAGAUUGAACGCUGGCGGCAUGCCUAACACAUGCAAGUCGAACGGAAACGAUGCUAGCUUGCUAGCAGGCGUCGAGUGGCGGACGGGUGAGUAAUGCAUAGGAAUCUACCUAAUAGUGGGGGACAACCUGGUGAAAACCAGGCUAAUACCGCAUAAUCCCUACGGGGCAAAGCAGGGGACCUUCGGGCCUUGCGCUAAUAGAUGAGCCUAUGUCGGAUUAGCUAGUUGGUGAGGUAAUGGCUCACCAAGGCGACGAUCCGUAGCUGGUUUGAGAGGAUGAUCAGCCACACUGGGACUGAGACACGGCCCAGACUCCUACGGGAGGCAGCAGUGGGGAAUAUUGCACAAUGGNGCACCGGCUAACUCCGUGCCAGCAGCCGCGGUAAUACGGAGGGUGCAAGCGUUAAUCGGAAUUACUGGGCGUAAAGCGCGCGUAGGCGGUUAAUUAAGUCAGAUGUGAAAGCCCCGGGCUCAACCUGGGAACUGCAUUUGAAACUGGUUAACUAGAGUAUGGUAGAGGAGAGUGGAAUUUCAGGUGUAGCGGUGAAAUGCGUAGAGAUCUGAAGGAACACCAGUGGCGAAGGCGGCUCUCUGGACCAAUACUGACGCUGAGGUGCGAAAGCGUGGGUAGCAAACGGGAUUAGAUACCCCGGUAGUCCACGCCGUAAACGAUGUCAACUAACUGUUGGGCGGGUUACCGCUUAGUGGUGCAGCUAACGCAAUAAGUUGACCGCCUGGGGAGUACGGCCGCAAGGCUAAAACUCAAAUGAAUUGACGGGGGCCCGCACAAGCGGUGGAGCAUGUGGUUUAAUUNNCGUCAAGUCAUCAUGGCCCUUAUGGGUAGGGCUACACACGUGCUACAAUGGCCGGUACAGAGGGCUGCAAACUCGCGAGAGUAAGCGAAUCCCUUAAAGCCGGUCCUAGUCCGGAUUGCAGUCUGCAACUCGACUGCAUGAAGCUGGAAUCGCUAGUAAUCGCGGAUCAGAAUGCCGCGGUGAAUUCGUUCCCGGGCCUUGUACACACCGCCCGUCACACCAUGGGAGUGGGUUGCAAAAGAAGUGGGUAGGCUAACCUUCGGGAGGCCGCUCACCACUUUGUGAUUCAUGACUGGGGUGAAGUCGUAACAAGGUAGCCCUAGGGGAACCUGGGGCUG
RNAcentral lists this ribosomal RNA (1170 nucleotides) under hydrothermal vent metagenome. RNAcentral's name for it is "bacterial SSU rRNA". It matches the Rfam family "Bacterial small subunit ribosomal RNA". The record is from RNAcentral.